This 3038-nucleotide unclassified non-coding RNA is filed under the name Neodiprion pinetum (white pine sawfly). Its description in RNAcentral is "apyrase-like, transcript variant X2". The record is from RNAcentral. Lineage: Eukaryota; Metazoa; Arthropoda; Insecta; Hymenoptera; Diprionidae.
UUGUGAAUAGCUGUUUCAUUCUAUUUUAAACUUCAGAGUUGCAAAACUCUGCGACAGUCAGUUACGCUUCUUCACUACGUUGUGAAUGAAGAGUUUUGUAUUCGUAUAAGUUGAGACCUUCCUUGACGCCAUGAUCCGUGGGGACGAUAUUUGCCGGAUGAGUUUCGUGGCGUUACUAACGUCGGCGUUGCUAGCGUCGACCGAGGCAUUCACUGCUCGUAAUCUCAUGUAUCCCGGACGGACCGAUCUUUUUGAAUUAUCCGUCAUUCAUCUCAACGACUUUCAUGCCAGGUUUGUCCAAACUGGAUCCACUUCAGGCACUUGUUACGAGGGAUACGAGGACGAAUGCGUUGGCGGUAUAGCGAGGGUGUACACAGCUACAAAUCAGCUCGUGAACGAAAGACCGAAUGCAAUUUUCCUCAAUGCCGGUGACAAUUUUCAAGGCACACUUUGGUACAACGUGCAUGGGUGGAACGUCACGGCAACGUUUAUGAACAUGUUACCACAUGACGCUAUGACUCUUGGAAAUCACGAGUUUGACAACAGGAUCGCUGGCGUAGUGCCUUUUCUGGAAAUGCUCACCACUCCGGUCGUCGUUACAAAUAUCGACGAUAGUGAAGAACCGGAUAUCCAAGGAUUGUACACCAAUAGCACGAUUGUUGAACGAAAUGGAACUCAGAUAGGAAUAAUCGGAGUAAUACUCUCGACAACUAACACUCUCGCAAGCACGGAGAAGCUGGCUUUUUGGGAUGAAAUUGAGACCGUGAAUGAUGAAGCGGCGAGACUAAAGGCACAGGGGAUUGAAAUCAUCAUUGUUCUAAGUCACUGCGGUCUGGAUGUGGACAGAGAAUUAGCUGCUAAUUGUCCAAACGUUGACCUCAUUGUCGGUGGCCACUCUCACACUUUUCUCUACUCAGGAACUUCGCCCAGUUCCGACGUUGCCGAGGAUGAGUAUCCGGUCGUGGUGGUCCAGGAAGACACUCAAAGGACGGUACUCAUCGUUCAGGCUUAUGCUUAUACCAAAUACCUGGGCAACAUCAGCGUUUGGUUCGACGCUGAUGGUGAAGUCUACGACUGGGAAGGGAAUCCUAUUCUACUCGACAGCUCCAUCGAAGAAGAUCCUGACGUACUGGCUGCCCUAGUACCGUGGCAAGUGGCGGUUGACGAGUUGGGCGACACAACGGUUGGAACGACCAAGGUCCGACUUUACAAAAAUUGCAGAUACGGAGAGUGUAAUGUGGGAAAUUUAAUUACCGACGCCAUGGUUGAUGCUUACGUAGGUUUAGCUGAGAACAGUACUUACUGGACUUACGCUGCAAUAGCUUGUAUAAACGCCGGAGGGAUUCGGAGCACCAUAGAAGACACAACCGGCGAAAUUACGUAUGCCGAUGCUGUGACUAGCCAACCCUUCGAGAACACUUGGGACGUGGUGGAGCUACAAGGCUCUGAUUUACUCCAGGUGUUAGAGGCGGGUGUAGCCACAAGCUAUAGCGAUACCGAGUUCGUCGGUAUAGGAUUUUUGCAGUGGUCUGGACUGAAGGUGACGUUCAACUUGUCGAAUGAGGCGUACUCGAGAGUGACCGAAUUGAAAGUGAGGUGCCGCGAAUGUGAAGUGCCGACUUAUGAAGGCGUCGACCUGGACGAAUGGUAUCGUAUUGUCGUCGUGUCAUUUCUAGUCACAGGAGGCGACGGUCACACGGUUCUGGCUACUCAGCAUCGCAACCACGAAGUUGGGACACGAGACAUAGAUCUCUACGUGAAAUACUUAGGGAAGAUGAGCCCCAUUAUUUUGGGGACUGAGGGUCGCAUGACUUUGGAAGGGACGUGGAGUGGUUAGCCAACAGCAGGGACCACUUUCCUGAUGAAAACACCCACCCCGAGAAUUAAAAGCAUGAUAUGAACGGCACACUUUCUUCCCCUCCUUCACCGACCUCAUCGUUUUCAUAGAUUUUUUGUACUGUUUCACAUCGUGGAACAACGUGACACUCUUCGUAUCUUGUACGAGCAUUUUCAUAUCCAUUUUUAUGUUUAUUUAAGAAUAUGCGUAAUUUUUCUUCAUUAAAACCCAAUUACCGCUUCCAAAUUUUAAGAAAAACUCAUAAAAUAGGUUUAUCCUUCUAUAUAUCUUCAACGUGCUUCUUGCAAAGAGAAAAGUGUUUCAGAAUGUUUCUAUUAUUUUAAAAACUUGAGAUAUCGCAUUUUCUUAACUCAUCAUUUUAAAAGUGCUCAACAAAGCCAAAAAAAAAUUCUUUAUUGGAAAAUUCUUGAAAUGCUUGGAACUAAAAAUGAAGCACUGCGAAAUUUUUCCAAAAUAUUUGCAGCUCAAAGAUGAAUGCGUAAAGAACUUUGAAAAAAUAAAUUGAGCGUCUUAGAGAUGUUGCAUUCGCCUGUAAAAGAUUUGAUAUAUUCAUGUAAAUAUAAAACAUACACGUUUAUGGAUUUAAUUGACAUUUAUUUAUGCGUUGUAUAAUUUCGGCGUAUAUAUUUCUUGUACGGGAUUUUCUCAACUUUUUAAUUUCACGGCGACGACGGCAUGAUGCCAACGUUUUGCACGCCAAAUUGUUGGUUAUGUAGAACUUCUUUCACCGGCGUCGUCACUUGCUAUGUUGAUAAUAUGUGAAACUGCUAAUACCCCCCAACCCGGCCAGACUCGGCAAACUGUUACGAAAAAUAACCCAGGGUUAUCAGGCUUUAUAUAUCCUCAGUCUACUCACUGCAGUUUAUAGUGUACGCUUAUAAUUAGAAAAAAAUUUAUUAAGUCCGAACUUUAUGUAACAAGUUGUGAAUAGCUGUUUCAUUCUAUUUUAAACUUCAGAGUUGCAAAACUCUGCGACAGUCAGUUACGCUUCUUCACUACGUUGUGAAUGAAGAGUUUUGUAUUCGUAUAAGUUGAGACCUUCCUUGACGCCAUGAUCCGUGGGGACGAUAUUUGCCGGAUGAGUUUCGUGGCGUUACUAACGUCGGCGUUGCUAGCGUCGACCGAGGCAUUCACUGCUCGUAAUCUCAUGUAUCCCGGACGGACCGAUCUUUUUGAAUUA